CACGUAGGGGGCAAGCGUUGUCCGGAUUUAUUGGGCGUAAAGAGCUCGUAGGCGGCUCUGUAAGUCGGGUGUCAAACCCUCAGGCUCAACCUGGGGCUCCACCCGAUACUGCAGUGGCUAGAGUCCGGUAGGGGAGCGUGGAAUUCCUGGUGUAGCGGUGAAAUGCGCAGAUAUCAGGAGGAACACCAGCGGCGAAGGCGGCGCUCUGGGCCGGAACUGACGCUGAGGAGCGAAAGCGUGGGUAGCAAACAGG
RNAcentral lists this ribosomal RNA (253 nucleotides) under uncultured bacterium. RNAcentral describes it as "partial 16S ribosomal RNA". It matches the Rfam family "Bacterial small subunit ribosomal RNA", at positions 524 to 776 of the family's 1533-position model. The record is from RNAcentral.